AUUGAACGCUAGCGGGAUGCCUUACACAUGCAAGUCGAACGGAGUGGCGAACGGGUGAGUAAUGUAUCGGAACGUGCCCAGUAGCGGGGGAUAACUACGCGAAAGCGUAGCUAAUACCGCAUACUCUUGGCGCGGCCGAUACCGGAUUGGCUCGUGGGGGGGGUAACGGCUCACCAAGGCGACGAUCCGUAGCUGGUUUGAGAGGACGACCAGCCACACUAGGACGGGGACACGGCCCAGACUCCUACGGGAGGCAGGAGUGGGGAAUUUUGGACAAUGGGGGAAACCCUGAUCCAGCCAUCCCGCGUGUGCGAUGAAGGCCUUCGGGUUGUAAAGCACUUUUGGCAGGAAAGCGGUACCUGCAGAAUAAGCACCUGCGAACUACGUGCCAGCAGCCGCGGUAAUAC
Molecule: ribosomal RNA, 407 nt
Filed under: uncultured bacterium
Lineage: Bacteria
Description: partial 16S ribosomal RNA
Rfam family: Bacterial small subunit ribosomal RNA
Source: RNAcentral